AGCUUUGCACAGUGGCAGUAUUGUAGCCGAUGAGGUUUAUCCAACGCGCGAUUACUGCUAAUUGAAAACUCACACCGGGCGC
Molecule: small nuclear RNA, 82 nt
Filed under: Tupaia belangeri (northern tree shrew)
Lineage: Eukaryota; Metazoa; Chordata; Mammalia; Scandentia; Tupaiidae
Description: U4 spliceosomal RNA (ENSTBEG00000020982.1)
Rfam family: U4 spliceosomal RNA
About the family: U4 small nuclear RNA (U4 snRNA) is a component of the major U2-dependent spliceosome. The structure of U4 snRNA from yeast and human has been reported. U4 snRNA presents a k-turn RNA motif in the 5p-SL related to recognition of Snu13 protein.
Source: RNAcentral